GAACCUCGCCUCGNAAGACGGGGAUAACUCCCGGGAAACCGGAGCUAAUACCGGAUGAUAACGAGAAGCGCCUGCUUUUUUUUUGAAAGUACGGUUUCCGGCUGGACGCUUACAGAUGGGCCCGCGGCGCUUAGCUAGUUGGNGAGGUAACGGCUCACCAAGGCGACGAUGCGUAGCCGACCUGAGAGGGUGAUCCGGCCACACUGGGACUGAGACACGGCCCAGACUCCUACGGGAGGCAGCAGUAGGGAAUCUUCGGCAAUGGGACGAAAGUCUGACCGAGCAACGCCGCGUGAGCGAAGAA
RNAcentral lists this ribosomal RNA (304 nucleotides) under Bacillus sp. B81. RNAcentral's name for it is "bacterial SSU rRNA". It matches the Rfam family "Bacterial small subunit ribosomal RNA", at positions 121 to 412 of the family's 1533-position model. Lineage: Bacteria; Bacillati; Bacillota; Bacilli; Caryophanales; Bacillaceae. The record is from RNAcentral.